This 1023-nucleotide long non-coding RNA is filed under the name Microcebus murinus (gray mouse lemur). Its description in RNAcentral is "lncRNA (ENSMICG00000048165.1)". Lineage: Eukaryota; Metazoa; Chordata; Mammalia; Primates; Cheirogaleidae. The record is from RNAcentral.
CUUUGUGGGGCGCGGUGUUAACGCCAUUGCAAGAUGGCGCCGGCUUCCUGGUCACGCCGAUACUACAAGACUGAUAAACAGGGUGAACUGCGCAGGUGUAGGGGCUUUUCCUGUCUCAUUAAGUAUGCAUAUGAAAGAUCUUAGCUUGGCCUAUCAGUAGUAACCCUCACGCGCUUUUAACCUAUCCCCAUCACUUCCCCCCUUCCUUAGAGUAUAUAAGUGUGUGAGAGCUUGUGCUCAGGGUCUUCCGCAUCAUGUAAGUCUAAAGGGAACCCCAUUAAAGCACUGUCAAAAGAACUCCUGUUGCCGCGUCUUCCUUGCUGGCGAGGCGGGCGCGACAAGUGGUGCCGAAACCCGGGACUCGAAACAACUUUGAGGCACCAGCGGAAGACGACCUCAGAAGAGGUAGAGUUCAGAACUGACGUGUGGGACGGCCAAAACUCCCCUGCUUCCAUAAGCUCAGAGCGAGAGCCGCCAGAGCCAGAGCGAGAGCCGCCAGAGCCAGAGCGAGAGCCGCCAGAGCGAGAGCCGCCAGAGCGAGAGCCGCCAGAGCGAGAGCCGCCAGAGCGAGAGCCGCCAGAGCGAGAGCCGCCAGAAGAAAAGGGAGAGAAAGAAAGGAGGAGAAAAGGGAGAGAAAGAAAGGAGGAGAAAGGGGAGAGAAAGAAAGGAGGAGAAAAGGGAGAGAAGGGAGAAAAGACGCAGAGGACAGAGGAGAUGGCCUUUUUUUCGGUCAGAAUUUAUCUGAGACACCUGCUACUUCACUGCUUAAUUGUACAUCAUCCACUUGUAACUGUACGUUGUGUUAGAAUGCCUCUUCGCAUCCUGUUGCUGUUGCUCGUUUACCCAGACAUUAUUCCUGUUCCUGUAGACGCUCCUAAUUCCUUAACAUUGUUCAAGACUCGCAAGAACUUUAAAAUCACGGCUGCAAUUGUUGCAGCUAUCGCUACGGCUGCCGCAGCGUCGGCUGUAGCUUUGAGCACAACCCUGCAGACCGCAUAUGCGCUUAAUAACCUGCCAGCCGGC